GUCUUUUUGAUUAUAAUUUAAAGUCUGACCUGCCCAAUGAGUAGUUGAAUGGCCGCGGUAAUUUGACCGUGCAAAGGUAGCAUAAUCAUUAGUUUUUUAAUUGAAAGCUGGAAUGAAUGGUUGGACGAGAAAAUAACUGUCUCAAUUUAAUUGUAUAUAGAAUUUUAUUUAUAAGUAAAAAAGCUUAUAUAAUUUUGAAAGACGAGAAGACCCUAUAGAGUUUUAUAUAAUAUUAUAUUAUUUAGGUUUAGAAUGUUUACAUUUUUAAUAUAAUAUUAUAUUUUGCUGGGGCAGUAGAAAAAUUAAAUAAACUUUUUUUUGUUUUAAUACAUUGAUUUAUGUUUUAAUGAUCCAUUUCUUAUGAUUACAAGAUUAAAUUACCUUAGGGAUAACAGCGUAAUUUUUUUUUAGAGUUCUUAUCGAAAAAAGAGUUUGCGACCUCGAUGUUGGAUUAAAAUUAACUUUUGGUGCAGAAGCUAAAAGGUUAGGUCUGUUCGACCUUUAAAAUUUUACAUGAUCUGAGU
Molecule: ribosomal RNA, 524 nt
Filed under: Anomala sp. 182 AGL-2012
Lineage: Eukaryota; Metazoa; Arthropoda; Insecta; Coleoptera; Scarabaeidae
Description: partial 16S ribosomal RNA
Rfam family: Bacterial large subunit ribosomal RNA
Source: RNAcentral